UCCAGAAUGCGACUCUCCCUGGAGUCAAG
Molecule: small RNA, 29 nt
Filed under: Bombyx mori (domestic silkworm)
Lineage: Eukaryota; Metazoa; Arthropoda; Insecta; Lepidoptera; Bombycidae
Description: ovarian small RNA-26747
Source: RNAcentral